This is a long non-coding RNA of Etheostoma cragini (Arkansas darter), 314 nucleotides long. RefSeq lists it as uncharacterized. Lineage: Eukaryota; Metazoa; Chordata; Actinopteri; Perciformes; Percidae. The record is from RefSeq and is a predicted model, not a curated record. The transcript has 3 exons.
AAACAAGACAAAAAAACACUUGUUAAGGGGGGAGAUGUUUUUGUAAAAAAAGGAAUCACUAAAAUUAUGUAAUUUUGUACUAGCCAAUAUAAGACUAUGGUAGUUCUAUGUCUAUGUGAUGUCACAGACCUGCAAUUGUUUUCUUUGUUGUUGUUUUUUUAACUUUUGCGCUUGAUGUAGACAUAAACCUAGUUUCACCAAGAUAUUAGUGUGGGUAGCCUAUAUGUUAUGCACAUACACUCUUCUCACUCACACACACACACACACACACACACACACACACACACACACACACACACACACACACACACACA